GCGGACGUAGUUCAAUUGCAGAACAGCGGCCUUCCAGGUCGAAGACGUUGGUUCAAAUCCAGCCGUCCGCUCCA
Molecule: transfer RNA, 74 nt
Filed under: Aeromicrobium sp.
Lineage: Bacteria; Bacillati; Actinomycetota; Actinomycetes; Propionibacteriales; Nocardioidaceae
Also listed under: 1 other name
Description: tRNA-Gly
Rfam family: tRNA
About the family: Transfer RNA (tRNA) molecules are approximately 80 nucleotides in length. Their secondary structure includes four short double-helical elements and three loops (D, anti-codon, and T loops). Further hydrogen bonds mediate the characteristic L-shaped molecular structure. tRNAs have two regions of fundamental functional importance: the anti-codon, which is responsible for specific mRNA codon recognition, and the 3' end, to which the tRNAs corresponding amino acid is attached (by aminoacyl-tRNA synthetases). tRNAs cope with the degeneracy of the genetic code in two manners: having more than one tRNA (with a specific anti-codon) for a particular amino acid; and 'wobble' base-pairing, i.e. permitting non-standard base-pairing at the 3rd anti-codon position.
Source: RNAcentral